RNAcentral lists this ribosomal RNA (607 nucleotides) under uncultured bacterium. Its description in RNAcentral is "bacterial SSU rRNA". It matches the Rfam family "Bacterial small subunit ribosomal RNA", at positions 331 to 929 of the family's 1533-position model. The record is from RNAcentral.
CCAGACUCCUACGGGAGGCAGCAGUGGGGAAUCUUCCGCAAUGGGCGCAAGCCUGACGGAGCAACGCCGCGUGAGUGAAGAAGGUCUUCGGAUCGUAAAGCUCUGUUGAUGGGGACGAACGUGCCUAAUGCGAAUAGUUUUAGGCAAUGACGGUACCCAUCGAGGAAGCCACGGCUAACUACGUGCCAGCAGCCGCGGUAAUACGUAGGUGGCGAGCGUUGUCCGGAAUCAUUGGGCGUAAAGGGAGCGCAGGCGGGCAUGUAAGUCUUACUUAAAAGUGCGGGGCUCAACCCCGUGAUGGGAGAGAAACUAUCGGUCUUGAGUACAGGAGAGGAAAGCGGAAUUCCCAGUGUAGCGGUGAAAUGCGUAGAUAUUGGGAGGAACACCAGUGGCGAAGGCGGCUUUCUGGACUGCAACUGACGCUGAGGCUCGAAAGCCAGGGGAGCGAACGGGAUUAGAUACCCCGGUAGUCCUGGCCGUAAACGAUGGAUACUAGGUGUGGGAGGUAUCGACCCCUACCGUGCCGGAGUUAACGCAAUAAGUAUCCCGCCUGGGGAGUACGGCCGCAAGGCUGAAACUCAAAGGAAUUGACGGGGGCCCGCACAAG